CUGAAUAAACUUGGUGGGUUGUAGCUGGCUCCUUGGAGCAUGUGCACACCUAUCAUCUUUAUACAUCCACCUGUGCACAAUCUGUAGUCUUGGGGGAAAUGAGAAUCUCUCUCGAGUCUAUGUGUCUUCAUAAACUCCAUAGCAUGUUACAGAAUGUAUUUAAUGGGUCUCUGUACCUAUAAAACACUAUAUA
This 193-nucleotide unclassified non-coding RNA is filed under the name uncultured Melanophyllum. RNAcentral describes it as "sequence contains ITS1". The record is from RNAcentral. Lineage: Eukaryota; Fungi; Basidiomycota; Agaricomycetes; Agaricales; Agaricaceae.